UCACGAGUUUCAGCCACUUUCCCUGACGCAAGGUCGGGGUCGUUACGAAUAGGACAAAUAUACACCAAGCCUUUGAAGGAUGAGGUUCCAGUUCAGCUCCUACUUCACGACUCUCUUUCCAGAAACCCAUUCUCUCCCUUCUUUCUCCUUCAAACUUCUUUCUACCAUAACUUUCAUUCUACAACUCCAAUUCUUGCGCCGCUUUCGCCUUUAGGAUCGUAUGAACGAGCUCUACAAGAUAAGUGUGGUUUGGGAGAAUGGUGGUCACUACUAGGCAGCUCAUUGAAGGUUGAGGAUUACUUUGGAGCUGUUAAGGUGAAGAAUCUACCUUGGGCUGAACCUACAGAGAAGUCAGAGUAAUUUUGGGUUGAAGUGGAAGUUGGGUACAUCUUUCAUAAGUGCAGCCAUCACCGGAGAAAAAUAAGCAAACUUAUGCUUGAGGUGUUGCCCAACCUAGAAAAGAAGAAGCAAUAACCAGCAGAUAUUGAAAAUGAAGCUUGGAGUGCCGCACCAAGCUUUUAAGCAAGCUAAUGGAUUGAAUAAGAAGAAGCAAUAACCAGCAGAAUAUGUUUUGUUGUCGGAACCUACUGUAAAUUUUGUACUCUUGUGGGUUUUGUAAAUAAAAAGUUGCUUGUGAAUACAACGAGUUUAUUU
This is a long non-coding RNA of Prunus dulcis (almond), 654 nucleotides long. RefSeq lists it as uncharacterized. The transcript has 4 exons. Lineage: Eukaryota; Viridiplantae; Streptophyta; Magnoliopsida; Rosales; Rosaceae. The record is from RefSeq and is a predicted model, not a curated record.